This 834-nucleotide long non-coding RNA is filed under the name Physcomitrium patens. RNAcentral's name for it is "long non-coding RNA (PPAT_LNC004441)". Lineage: Eukaryota; Viridiplantae; Streptophyta; Bryopsida; Funariales; Funariaceae. The record is from RNAcentral.
GGGUGAUUUUCAGGGACUUUUCAACCGAUCCAGUCGGCAGGGCGGAGAUUCCUAUUAAAAUUUGUUCUUAAAAUCCCCCUUGACUGCGGCAUGAAUCAGGCAAAGUUCUUGGUAAUGAAACUCCGUCCUGCUUCCGUCCCCCAGACUCGAGUCUAGUUUUAUUUUAUUAAUGGUCUAGCUAGCCUUGAGUGCGAGAUGGCGAGCAAAUUCCGAAAAUUUUAUGUUUAAAAAGAUGAACUCAAGAUUAAUGGUGGCAGGGAAACAGAAAUGCUUGAAGUGUUACCGAGAUCGUGCUCAUGACAUGAUGUAAGGUACCACGAUGUUAGUAACAUUGAACGCAUAUUAAAAUAAAUAAAUUGUCGAUAGUAUACUCGCAAACAGUUGAAGGAUAUCCACAAAGCAAUGACACAAUGUGAGACACGUGCAUAAAUUCCGCCACGCGAGUCCCUGAAAUGAUGCAGUCCAGGUGAAAGCUUCUGGAGUCGGAGAAAUUUUCAAACACCGCAACCUGACGACACGGUGGCGUCGACAGGUGUGAUAUACCAGUUAAUUACAGUUGAAAAUGUUCCCUCCAACUAUUUGUAACUGUAAAUGGUGGGUGAGAUGCUAACAUGGGCUUUUCAAUCUUGCUGUAGCUCACUCGGGCAGUUUAUCUAAAACCAUAUUGUCCGAAAUCAACCAUUCGGAGCGUGCAGAGGAUAGAGUCCUCGAGAUGAUCCACACGCUUCUGCACUGCCUUGGGUUUGAGCAAACCCUAAAACCUGCGCAUAUGGGCAAUGAAGGCGUCGCAGAGACGGAGAUGAAAACAAAACGAACCAGCGCAACCUCAACCGA